Long non-coding RNA from Culex pipiens pallens (northern house mosquito), 2165 nucleotides. RefSeq lists it as uncharacterized. The transcript is spliced from 3 exons. NCBI's taxonomy places the organism in Eukaryota, Metazoa, Arthropoda, Insecta, Diptera, Culicidae. The record is from RefSeq and is a predicted model, not a curated record.
UCUGGGGCUUGGAACCACCUUACGCGUUCUUCUCGGUUACGGCAGACCAGAAUAAUGGCCUUGUAGCAAGGUUGGUGUUGAUCACGUAAAACACAAGUAGGGUAAGUUUCCUAGAGGGCACCGACUGUACGCAGAUCGAUCUUGUAUGAUUUGGGCGUAUUCACUAUCACUGGCACAGCAGCAUGCGAGCAGGAACCCCGCGAAUUCUGGUACCGACGGAGAGCCACAGUACCGAGGCACUAACGACGGGACGGGAGUCAGUGUACCGGUGGACGGGGUCGUUUACGGACAGCCUUAAUCGCCAACUGCUACUGCAGAAUCUUUCCUCCGGCGGGUUAAUCGGGUUCCUCACAAUCCACAGUAUUUCGGUGAGCAUUUUCAUUAUUAUACUAAAUUUCACACUAUCAAUAAGCUACAAAUUUGAAAAUUUCUUUAGAAAUUGAGAAUAAUUUUGUUACCACAAUGUUUUGAAAAAAAAAUCUUGAUUACGGAUUGUCAAAACUGUCGGAGUUUUUGGCACCAGCUUGGCAAAUCGAAAUUAUAACUCCGACAGCACAGCUUUACGCAAAAAUGAGUAAUAGAUUUCUGUGUAAAUUUCUAAUCUGUUUUGUUAAGGUUUUAUAUAUCAAGCAAAAGAACCUGAAUGGGCCAUUGAUGAAAAAUAAUUUUUAUGGCAUAAUAAUCAUGAUAGGGGAGAAUAAAUUUUAAAUUUGAAGGCCACGUGGCUUGUGCAAGAUUCUUAUGAGCACAAACGGGUUAAAAUGGAUGUUUAAAUUAAUUUUUAAAAAUAGGUUUACAAGCCUAUUUGACAGUUAGUUUUUUCAAGUAAUCAAAACGAGAGAUAUGGGCAAGAAAGACGAGUUAACAUUUCCGAUUUUUUUUGCACAACUUCAUACACAGCUCUUUUUAGCCACAGUUGAAACAUAGUUCAAACUAAACAAUGUAAAUGGGUCAAUGUGAGCUUGUUCUUCUUUGUUAACAAUUUUACAUUGACCCAUUAACAUUGUUGUUACAUGUUGAAAGAGCAACAUGGAGUUAGACUUUCUGUCCAGCUGUGUGUAAAGUGUAUCAUGCUCAGUAUUGUCAGAUUUUCAGAAAAUUCUGGGAAUACCUGAAUUUUCAAAUGCUCGACAGAAUAAAAAUAGACUCUCUAGAUGCUCAAUUCCAGAUUUCAAAAGAUUUUGCUGACAGUAAAAAAAAAAGAUUUUUGUCAACAAAAGCCAAGUUGAAAUAGGGUGAUUAGGAGUACUAUCAAAAACGGUGUAGACUUUGGAUUAUUGGUUCAACUUUACAGUUUUUAUGAAUAACUACGGGUUUUUCUAUGUUUAUAGUACCUUUCCAAAUAAAAAUCUAGAAAUAGAAAAACUUUUUAUUUUUUAAUUAUUUUCCCAAAAAUACCCGAUUUUUUUAAAGUGUUUAUUUGUUAAAAUCUUGGUGCUCUGGUGAUACCAUGGGCGUUAGAGGGUAAAUUUAUAUUCGUUAGGUAGCUACAGACUUUACAAUACAAAUUUGUCUGUAUCUGUGUUUGUAGAAAUUUUCAAAUCUGGCAGCACUGACUCCGACAGAACAACCCGACAUUUUCAUCGGAAUCAAAACGUCAAAUUUUCGGUAGUAAACAAAAGGCAGUGGUUCGUCUUGUUUUUUUUUGUAGUUGUCAAAAGAGUUCGUCUUGUUGUUGCCACCGUUGCCACAAAUCCGUAGAUUUCCAGCGGUUUUCGCUUCUCCGCCGAUUUGUCCAGCUGCUGCUGCUCCAGGUCGUUCUCAAUCACGGCGUCGUCCUCCAACGCAGCAGCUGAACGAAUCGGCGGAGAAGCGAAAAUCGAUGGAAAUACCGUUGCUUGUGGACGAGGAACUCAAGACCGAGGAGGAAGUGCAAGCCAAGCUUGAUCUGGACGAAAACGAGGUGAAAAUGGUCGACGCGAGCGAGGAAAACGAGACCGUCAACGAUGAGGUGGUAAUCAACCAACAUUGAAUAGGACGACGGCGGCGUGAAGGCGGUUGAACCGAUGGAGUGCGGAAGUAGUUUGACUUCGCCGAAGCACGUGAUGAAGACGCACUUUGACGACGUGAUGAUGUCGGAGACGACAUUGACCUGUUCCGGAAGCAAGCAGGUCGAGAGUUCGGACACGUCGUUGAUUUCGAACGCGGAGCUGGCAGAGUUCAAG